UUUGCCCCGCUUUGGCUGUUUAACGGCUGCAUGUGCAGUGAUGCUAGAGUAGAACAGGUCUGGACCUUGUUAAUGUAACUGCUGCCAGCUUUCCUGUAAGGAUCCCCAUCCAGGCCCUUCAGCAACUGUAGGAGCGGGCGUGGUGUCGUCGCUACUGUCAAAUCCUGGACCCGGCAGCCGACUUUUUCCUGACUUGGACAUCAGCAGCGGAAGCAAGGGAAGUUUCAAGACACACAGUAAAGUUUGCUUCAGUCCAGGGAUCACAGUGCACAAAACCAGAGCAUACUUCUCUCUGAGCUCUCCGUGAUGUUGAAAAAGAAGCUUCUUCAAGGAUGACCAAAUGCUUACCCCGCCUUGUGCCCAGCUCAGUGCAGACAGAAGUCACUACACUGAACGAGAACUACAACCAGGAAGCAGUCUCCACCCUGAGAAGCAGCCAUUAGUACACAGAGGAGAUUCCAUGGACACGGGGCCAUCCACAGGAACACAAACAACCCAUCAGCUGCCAAACUGCUGAAGAAAAGUGACUCCCCUCCUCCAGCAGGCGUAAGUUGCCAGUGGCUAAGAGUGGAACUGCCUGAGUCCCCACCUCCAUCGAUGCUGCAAAGUGCGUGCCUCGACUUUGUGCAGGGCCAGCUUUAAGAGGACAGAGCCAUGGAUUGCGAGUGGGAGAGAUUGUGUCUGUAAGGGCAGAGGAGACACCAAUGAACUGAGUGCCACCUGCUUCCGUGUGGUUUGGUCAUCCCUCGGUACUGAUUACUAAUGCACAGUCAUAAAGAAGGCUCCAGUCAUAAGAGCAUUGUUGGAGACCAUUGAUAUUUGCAGAUAUCCCAUCCUAUUUUGGUUUUAGACCUCUAAGGUGCCUAUCUGAGUGACCUCAGUGUAACUAACAAUCUGACUAAAUGUAUUACUCAGUGCCAGGGCUACUGUAUGGGGAGCCGAACAAGACGCCACACAACAGCUACAUGGCAUGAAGAAGCCAAGGCCAGUGAUGGGAAGUGACCACUGUUCCAGGACUUUGAUUAGCUGAGGCCAGAGGAUCCCCACCCUGCCAAUGAAGAAAACCCUAAGAACUUAAUAUUCUUGGAUACUGUCUUAGUUAGGUGUCACGAGUCACGUCCCUACUCCUCAGCUGCAGGUGUUCUUGGGGGUCUAGAAUAUUUGGAAAGUAGAAAGUUACUGGGGGUGGGACUCCAGCCAUGUAGCUUUUGUGCUUCCUCAUCCACGCUGGGGUGGGGAUGUUCAGUGACUGGGCUGCUUUUGAGUCACCUGUGCUCCCAUGAGUCACCCCUCACCUCUGCAUCUAUAGAACCUCAAUGUUAUGGUUUGUAAAUGCUCUGCUCAGGGAGUGGCACUAUUAGGAGGUAUGGCCUUGUUGGAGGGGGUGUGUCACUGGGUGUGGGCUUUAAGACACUCAUCGUAGCUGCCUGGAAGCCAGUAUUCUGCUAGCAGCCAUCAGAUGAAGAUGUAGAACUCUCAGCUCCUCCUGCACCAUGCCUGCCUGGAUGCUGCUAUCUCCCCGCCUUGAUGAUAAUGGACUGAACCUCUGAACCUGUAAGCCAGCCUGAGUUAAAUGUUGUCCUUGUAAGAGUUGCCUUGGUCAUGGUGUCUGUUCACAGCAGUAAAACCCUAAGACACACAAUAAACUCAGAGUCACCAA
RNAcentral lists this long non-coding RNA (1660 nucleotides) under Mus musculus (house mouse). Its description in RNAcentral is "predicted gene 2762". Lineage: Eukaryota; Metazoa; Chordata; Mammalia; Rodentia; Muridae. The record is from RNAcentral.